CUACGGGAGGCAGCAGUGGGGAAUAUUGCACAAUGGGGGAAACCCUGAUGCAGCCAUGCCGCGUGUGUGAAGAAGGCCUUCGGGUUGUAAAGCACUUUCAGUUGUGAGGAAAAGUUAGUAGUUAAUACCUGCUAGCCGUGACGUUAACAACAGAAGAAGCACCGGCUAACUCCGUGCCAGCAGCCGCGGUAAUACGGAGGGUGCGAGCGUUAAUCGGAAUUACUGGGCGUAAAGCGCACGCAGGCGGUUUGUUAAGCUAGAUGUGAAAGCCCCGGGCUCAACCUGGGAUGGUCAUUUAGAACUGGCAGACUAGAGUCUUGGAGAGGGGAGUGGAAUUCCAGGUGUAGCGGUGAAAUGCGUAGAUAUCUGGAGGAACAUCAGUGGCGAAGGCGACUCCCUGGCUAAAGACUGACGCUCAUGUGCGAAAGUGUGGGUAGCGAACAGGAUUAGAUACCCUGGUAGUCCACACCGUAAACGCUGUCUACUAGCUGUUUGUGAUUUUAAAUCGUGAGUAGCGAASUAACGCGCUAAGUAGACCGCCUGGGGAGUACGGCCGCAAGGUUAAAACUCAAAUGAAUUGACGG
Molecule: ribosomal RNA, 584 nt
Filed under: uncultured marine bacterium D031
Lineage: Bacteria
Description: bacterial SSU rRNA
Rfam family: Bacterial small subunit ribosomal RNA
Source: RNAcentral